GUCCCGUCACUUCGCACUUCCUGGCGGGAUGUUGUUGAGGCUGUGUUGUCACUCACUGAGCGAUCCGCGCGGGUAGCGACAGUUGCAGCUGCUGUAAAGCUGAGCUCGGGUCCUUUAUAACAUCAGAACUAAUCGCUAUUGUUUUAGGUCUACGAUGGUCUGUAAAUGUACGUCCAGGCGUAACGUUAACGUGCUCUGAUUCAUUAUCAGCCCUGAGCAUUUUAAUAUUCAGCAGGUGCAGCAAAUAUAGAAACUAUACUAGGAUUAAGAAACCCGUUAGGAAAAUUUGGCAGAAUUAUUGGAAUGAAGAGAAAACCGGAAGGCACCAGUUUAAAAUCCAAAAGGAGGUUAGAAUGCAGUAGCCAGGUGGGAAUAAUGAAAGGGAAGAAAUAAUACUGACAAGGCUCAGAAAUGGAUAUUGUGGACUAAAUAACACAUGACGUACAUUUAAUAAUAAUUGAAAACUAUGUAAAAUUGUAACGCGCCAGAGACCUAAUAGGGUGUUUUAUUUGUCUGUGGGUCAUUUGAGAUGCAGUGAACAUACUUUAUGGCAAAAGGUGGAGGAGUUAAGAGUUACACAGGUGUCUCUGGAGUGUUUUAAAAAUGAAUGGCAUACAUGACUGUGACGUUUUGCAACAGAGUCGGCUUUACAGUGUCACAAUCGGCAAUGCACCUAACUUGCAUAUCUUUGGACUGUGGGAGGAAACCCGACCAACUGGAGAAAACGCAUGCAGACACGGGGAGAACAUGCAAACUCCACGCAGGGAGAAAUGCUGGCAUUGCUUGCAUAUACUCGAAGGCGGAAAAAAAACUUAACCAGUUUCAAAAAAUAUUUUUUCAUGCUUUUAUAUAUAUAUUGCUAAAUGCAUUAAAACUGGGGAAAGAUGCAGAGAACCUCAAUUAGAGAAGGUUGAACAAUAACUGAAACAAUUUUUUUCCACUUGCAAAAUGCAGUGAACAGCAUGCUCUGAGCAAAGUAAAUAAUCAAACCUUAAAAAAACAAAAAGGUUCCCUUUAAGAACAAUUGCCUGUUUAGACUCUGUAGCAGGUCCCUGUGUUUUCUGUUGGCACAGUAAUUGUAUCUACUUGUUUAUAUUUAGAAGGAUGGUGGUUGUUAUUAAACCUACAUGGUCUGCAGAGUUUGCACAGGUUUUAGUUCUAUACCAGAUUAAUUGGCGACUCUAAACUGGCCCAGUAAAUUCAAAUGCAUGUGUGCGCCCUGUGAUGGACUGUGGUCCUUUGCACCUUAUGUUGCUAUGAUAGGCAUUAGCUACCACUGACCCUAAUUUGAUUAAAAGGUGAGAAAACAGAAGCCAAUGGAUGAAUGUCAGUUUAAUUCCUUCUGUCUCAGACUUCAUUUGUCCCAAUCCAAUAGGUCAUCUUCCACAAAACAAUGAAAGUUUGGCGUGUCUGUGUAUGUUUUUUUAACCUUUUGAAGUUUGUUUAUGCUACCUUUUUCAACCACGCAAACAAUAAAAGUGUGAUCUUCCAGUAAA
Molecule: long non-coding RNA, 1496 nt
Organism: Polypterus senegalus (gray bichir)
Lineage: Eukaryota; Metazoa; Chordata; Cladistia; Polypteriformes; Polypteridae
Exons: 2
Source: RefSeq, a predicted model, not a curated record